This 546-nucleotide ribosomal RNA is filed under the name Thor manningi. Its description in RNAcentral is "partial 16S ribosomal RNA". It matches the Rfam family "Bacterial large subunit ribosomal RNA", at positions 1827 to 2621 of the family's 2925-position model. The record is from RNAcentral. Lineage: Eukaryota; Metazoa; Arthropoda; Malacostraca; Decapoda; Hippolytidae.
UUCUUUUUCAGAGGUAUAUAAAAAGUAAGACCUGCCCAAUGAGUGAAUUUAUUUCAAUGGCCGCGGUAUUUUGACUGUGCAAAGGUAGCAUAAUCAGUUGUCUUUUAAUUGGAGGCUGGAAUGAAAGGUUAAACGAGAAAAAAACUGUCUCAGCUUAAAGACUUGAAUUUCCCCUUUAAGUGAAAAGGCUUAAAUAAUUUAAAGGGACGAUAAGACCCUAUAAAACUUUUAUAAUUAGUUUUAUUCAAUGAUUUUAAGUUUAAAAAAAGUUAAAAGGAUUUUAUUUUAUUGGGGUGAUUAUUAUAUAAACAUGUGUAUAAAUAACUGUAGUUAAAAUUAAUAAUUAUUAUUAGAAAAAUGAUCCUUUAAUAAGGAUUAAAAGAUAAAGUUACUUUAGGGAUAACAGCGUUAUUUUCUUGGAGAGUUCAUAUUGAUAAGAUAAGUUGCGACCUCGAUGUUGAAUUAAGGUGUCUUGUAAAUGUAGCAGUUUAUUAAGUUGGUCUGUUCGACCAUUAAAACCUUACAUGAUUUGAGUUCAGACCGGCG